This 492-nucleotide ribosomal RNA is filed under the name uncultured bacterium. Its description in RNAcentral is "partial 16S ribosomal RNA". It matches the Rfam family "Bacterial small subunit ribosomal RNA", at positions 29 to 507 of the family's 1533-position model. The record is from RNAcentral.
AGUGAACGCUGGCGGUAGGCCUAACACAUGCAAGUCGAACGGCAGCACAGUAAGAGCUUGCUCUUACGGGUGGCGAGUGGCGGACGGGUGAGGAAUACAUCGGAAUCUACUUUUUCGUGGGGGAUAACGUAGGGAAACUUACGCUAAUACCGCAUACGACCUACGGGUGAAAGCAGGGGAUCUUCGGACCUUGCGCGAUUGAAUGAGCCGAUGUCGGAUUAGCUAGUUGGCGGGGUAAAGGCCCACCAAGGCGACGAUCCGUAGCUGGUCUGAGAGGAUGAUCAGCCACACUGGAACUGAGACACGGUCCAGACUCCUACGGGAGGCAGCAGUGGGGAAUAUUGGACAGUGGGCGCAAGCCUGAUCCAGCCAUACCGCGUGGGUGAAGAAGGCCUUCGGGUUGUAAAGCCCUUUUGUUGGGAAAGAAAAGCAGCAGGUUAAUACCCCGCUGCUCUGACGGUACCCAAAGAAUAAGCACCGGCUAACUUCGUG